ACGGGUGAGUAACACGUGGGUGAUCUGCCUCGCACUUCGGGAUAAGCCUGGGAAACUGGGUCUAAUACCGGAUAUGACCUGCUGUCGCAUGGCGGUGGGUGGAAAGAUUUAUCGGUGCGAGAUGGGCCCGCGGCCUAUCAGCUUGUUGGUGGGGUAAUGGCCUACCAAGGCGACGACGGGUAGCCGGCCUGAGAGGGCGACCGGCCACACUGGGACUGAGACACGGCCCAGACUCCUACGGGAGGCAGCAGUGGGGAAUAUUGCACAAUGGGCGAAAGCCUGAUGCAGCGACGCCGCGUGAGGGAUGACGGCCUUCGGGUUGUAAACCUCUUUCGACAGGGACGAAGCGCAAGUGACGGUACCUGUAGAAGAAGCACCGGCCAACUACGUGCCAGCAGCCGCGGUAAUACGUAGGGUGCGAGCGUUGUCCGGAAUUACUGGGCGUAAAGAGCUUGUAGGCGGUUUGUCGCGUCGUC
RNAcentral lists this ribosomal RNA (476 nucleotides) under Nocardia abscessus. Its description in RNAcentral is "bacterial SSU rRNA". It matches the Rfam family "Bacterial small subunit ribosomal RNA", at positions 102 to 592 of the family's 1533-position model. The record is from RNAcentral. Lineage: Bacteria; Bacillati; Actinomycetota; Actinomycetes; Mycobacteriales; Nocardiaceae.